Molecule: ribosomal RNA, 437 nt
Filed under: Saccharomyces cerevisiae (brewer's yeast)
Lineage: Eukaryota; Fungi; Ascomycota; Saccharomycetes; Saccharomycetales; Saccharomycetaceae
Description: SSU rRNA
Rfam family: Eukaryotic small subunit ribosomal RNA
Source: RNAcentral
CUCCAAUAGCGUAUAUUAAAGUUGUUGCAGUUAAAAAGCUCGUAGUUGAACUUUGGGCCCGGUUGGCCGGUCCGAUUUUUUCGUGUACUGGAUUUCCAACGGGGCCUUUCCUUCUGGCUAACCUUGAGUCCUUGUGGCUCUUGGCGAACCAGGACUUUUACUUUGAAAAAAUUAGAGUGUUCAAAGCAGGCGUAUUGCUCGAAUAUAUUAGCAUGGAAUAAUAGAAUAGGACGUUUGGUUCUAUUUUGUUGGUUUCUAGGACCAUCGUAAUGAUUAAUAGGGACGGUCGGGGGCAUCAGUAUUCAAUUGUCAGAGGUGAAAUUCUUGGAUUUAUUGAAGACUAACUACUGCGAAAGCAUUUGCCAAGGACGUUUUCAUUAAUCAAGAACGAAAGUUAGGGGAUCGAAGAUGAUCAGAUACCGUCGUAGUCUUAACCA